Molecule: long non-coding RNA, 1245 nt
Organism: Oncorhynchus tshawytscha (Chinook salmon)
Lineage: Eukaryota; Metazoa; Chordata; Actinopteri; Salmoniformes; Salmonidae
Source: Ensembl
AGGUCUCUGACCUCCUCCCUAUAGGUUGUCUUGUUGUUGUCGGUGAUCAGGUCUGUGUCAUCAGCAAAUUUAAUGAUGAUGUUGGAGUCGUGCCUGGCCGUGCAGUCAUGAAUGAACAGGGAGUACAGGAGAGGACUGAGCACACACCCCUGAGGGGCCCCUGUGUUGAGGAUCAGCGUGGCGGAUGUGUUGUUGCCUACAGUUACCACCUGGGGGCGCCCGUCAGGAAGUCCAGGAUCCAGUUGCAGAGGGAGGUGUUGAGUCCCAGAGUUCUUAGCUUAUUGAUGAGCUUUGAGUGCACUAUGGUGUUGAACGCUGAGCUGUAGUCAAUUAAUAGCAUUCUCACUUAGUAGGUGUUCCUUUCGUCCAGGUGGGAAAUGUGUGGAGUGCAAUAGAGACUGCAUCAUCUGUGGAUACAUGAGUAUGAUCUUAGGUGUAGAAUGUACCGUCUUUACUCUUGGGUCCACCCACCCUGAAACCAAAAAGGGUUCUACCUGGAACUAAAAAUAAUUGUCCUAUGCUAUGGGAACCUUUUUUCUAAGCGUGUAGUUGUACUGCAUCCCUGGUAGAGACUCUGAGAGCACUCUGCUGACAUAAGCACGGUAUAGAGGAGCAUAAUAGGAGCAAGGUUUUGAUCCUUCAGAGGUGACAUAGUAACCUUAUUAUCAUGUGACAUUGAUAACCACUUUUGGUUUUUCCCUCCAGACUCAACUAGCAGAGAUGGAAACCCUACCAGAGAAAGGCCACCGGUAACUUCCAGGAACUGUACCAUCAGCCUGAUGUCAAGAGUUAAGGUGUACCCCAAUGGAGACAGGUAUAUAUCUAUCCACGUCUGGGGGAAAAGCAUGGAAGAGAUACUUCCUCCAAAUUCACAAAAAAGGUAUUAGCCUGAUAUCAUGAUCCAGUCUGGAUUCUCUAUGGGGCACCAUUAGUAACAUGCUAUAUUUUGUGCUAAAGAUGAAUUUCCUACCACAGAAUUUAGUUUUCAAACAGAACCCUAAUAGAACCCUCAUUAAGUGGUAACUGUGUGUUACUGAAUGUUGCAGCUGCAGUAACGUGAGGCUGGGAAUGUCCCGGUCCGCAUCCAGGCUGUACGCUGCAGACGGCAUGGCUUCUGUACCGUGAGGUUGGGCCUAUCCCGGUCCGCUUCCAGGCUGUACGCUGCAGACGGCAGGCCUCUGUACCGUGAGGUUGGGCCUAUCCCGGUCCGCUUCCAGGCUGUACGCUGCAGACGGCAGGGCUCUG